UUGAACGCUGGCGGCAGGCCUAACACAUGCAAGUCGAACGGUAACAGGAAGAAGCUUGCUUCUUUGCUGACGCGUGGCGGCCGGGUGAGUAAUGCCUGGGAAACUGCCUGAUGGAGGGGGAUAACUACUGGAAACGGUAGCUAAUACCGCAUAACGUCGCAAGACCAAAAAGGGGGACCUUCGGGCCUCUUGCCAUCGGAUGUGCCCAGAUGGGAUUAGCUAGUAGGUGGGGUAACGGCUCACCUAGGCGACGAUCCCUAGCUGGUCUGAGAGGAUGACCAGCCACACUGGAACUGAGACACGGUCCAGACUCCUACGGGAGGCAGCAGUGGGGAAUAUUGCACAAUGGGCGCAAGCCUGAUGCAGCCAUGCCGCGUGUAUGAAGAAGGCCUUCGGGUUGUAAAGUACUUUCAGCGGGGAGGAAGGGAGUAAAGUUAAUACCUUUGCUCAUUGACGUUACCCGCAGAAGAAGCACCGGCUAACUCCGUG
This 489-nucleotide ribosomal RNA is filed under the name uncultured bacterium. RNAcentral describes it as "partial 16S ribosomal RNA". It matches the Rfam family "Bacterial small subunit ribosomal RNA", at positions 30 to 507 of the family's 1533-position model. The record is from RNAcentral.